Molecule: ribosomal RNA, 445 nt
Filed under: uncultured bacterium
Lineage: Bacteria
Description: bacterial SSU rRNA
Rfam family: Bacterial small subunit ribosomal RNA
Source: RNAcentral
CAGGCNUAACACAUGCAAGUCGAACGGUAACAGGUCUUCGGAUGCUGACGAGUGGCGAACGGGUGAGUAAUGCAUCGGAACGUGCCCAGUCGUGGGGGAUAACGCAGCGAAAGCUGUGCUAAUACCGCAUACGAUCUAUGGAUGAAAGCGGGGGACCGUAAGGCCUCGCGCGAUUGGAGCGGCCGAUGUCAGAUUAGCUAGUUGGUGGGGUAAAGGCCCACCAAGGCGACGAUCUGUAGCUGGUCUGAGAGGACGACCAGCCACACUGGGACUGAGACACGGCCCAGACUCCUACGGGAGGCAGCAGUGGGGAAUUUUGGACAAUGGGCGCAAGCCUGAUCCAGCAAUGCCGCGUGCAGGAAGAAGGCCUUCGGGUUGUAAACUGCUUUUGUACGGAACGAAAAGGUCCGGGUUAAUACCCUGGGCUCAUGACGGUACCGUAAGA